UAAUGACCAAAUUAAUAACUGAGACACCUGACCAGCCAAUCCCAUUUCUCAUUGACCAUCUUCAGUCCAAACAAGGACACCGUGGACAGCUUCAGAGAACUUUAUCUGGAUCUGCAGCCCUCUGGGCAGAAAGUGAAACAUCUGAACAUAAAGGAACAAGAAGGGAUUUGAGAAGCUAUGAUAAGCCUUGGCAAUUAAGUGCAAAGAAGCCAAAAAAGUCAAAAAGUGACCUUGCUGUGUCUAAUAUUUCUCCACCAUCACCAGAAUCCAAAUCAUUGUCAAGGUCAGUAGAUCAUCCUAAGUGGAACUGGCGAACUAAACCAGAAAACCGUGAUUUUGAUGAAUUGAACCACAUCCUUCAAGAGAGCAGGAAGCUGGGAAAAGCCCUUGAGAAGCUCUCUCGAAGUAUUGCAAUUUCAGAUGAACUCGAUAAGGAAACGGUGGCGUUUAACUCCUCUCUUCUGAGACCCCGUGUGAUCGGAGAAUGGAUUGGUCGAGAAGAGAACGAUGCUGAUCCGUUAGCGGCCGAAAUGCUACAGCCCCCAAUUCCCAGAAGUAAAAACGAACAAUGGGAGAGUGAAGACAGCAGCUCCAGCCCCGCAGGAAGCUUAAAGGUGGAACCCAAGACUAAGGGGUUAAAACAACAGCAACAGCAACACAAGAAGCUGCUGGCAGCAAUGCUCUCCCAGGAUUCUUUUGAGUCCGUCCACAGCCCUCCCGCGUCUGUAACAGAAGACGACAUUGAUAACGAAGACGAAGCAAUGGAAUUGCUGGAGGAUCUUGAUGAUUUAAGAAUGGAGGGAGUAACUACUCUGGUACCUUCUGGGAGCAAAUUUAACCAAGGUCGUGCUACUUACCCUGCUGAGCCUCAGGCCAAGGUCACACUGAACAUCUGUUCAAGGUGUGCCAGACUUCAAGGAGACAACCUGGCAGAAAGAACAGAAGAGACGUCACAAACACUUCAUUCUCUAGAUGAGAAAAUCCUGGAUUCUUUGAAUGCUUUACCUGGGACUGAAGAAGCAUUAAUGGAGGAUGGUGGAGAAUUUGAAAUAGCAUCUAAAUUAACAGGACCUGGAGAAGCCCCCAGUGGAGGACAGUCACUGAAAAACUACAUGGAAGAAGAUGAAUCUUUAAAGCAAUUGCAGGUGGUUCACCAACCCUGGAUUUUGCCAAGUGACACAGAAAGUGAAGGAGUGGAAGGAGAACAAGAGAAACGUUCUACUGACCUUCUCCUUUGUGUUCCGUGCUCUUCUUGUCCUACUCUCGUCUACUCUGGAUUUUCCACUCUGAACAAAAUUGAACCAGCCUGAGACAUACCAACUGAAACCAGGGCAUUAAGGUCUUCUGCCAGUUGCAAUACUGAAGUCCUAAAGAAGCUAACUGCCAUGAUUCCCAGACUGCCCAAAUAAAGGAUCUGCAGCUAUAGAGCUCUUCUCCAUGACAUUUUCACAGAACACACUAUUUAAAGAUUUACAUCAUUUCAUCACUCCAGGACUCUGUUCCCUGUUGAAAGGAAACUUUCUAGCUUAAGACACUGAGGAACAGGAUGAUGCCUGGAUUUCUAAGAGGAGUCCUGGCAUGAGCCCUAUCCAUCUUUGCCCAGGGCAGAAGGAGAUGAUCCUGGGCUCCCACUGCCCUUAGUUCUUCAAGGGCCUAGACUGAGGACUUCAGGGCAUAAGUGAAAGUCUUUAAUCAUCCUGACUAAAUGCAAGUAUAUAUUCUAUAUGUCUUUAAAUUUCAGUAUCACAGUUAAAAUCAAAUGAACUUGAAUGUCAGGAAGAAUUAGAACCAAAUCCCAGCUCUUUUGUUCACUAACAGUGUGAACUAAUGACCAAGCAAUUAAGCCUUUCUGCCACAUAGUAAGUGCUCAAUCAAUGUUAGUUAGCUAUUGGUUUGAUAUUUUUACUCGAGGUAAGGACUGGAUCCUUAAAAAUAAGGUGAGGCAUAAAAAAAACUACCCUAAAAGCUUUUUGGUUUUUAACAACUCAUCCUAAACUCUGUAGCUUAAAACACCAACCUGAUUUUUUGUUUAAGUUACAGGUUCCUUUUCUGACACCUCUGUUUUAAAUAUUUCCAGUCUUUUUCCUAUCUUUUUUCUAGGUCUGUUCCAUACACCCUCUGUGUGUAUGUUUUUGUUUCUAUGAGGCUUUUUUCUGCUUUUUACUUUUUUCCUUUUCUAGGUUCCCUGACCUUCUAAGGUGUUCGCCAGGUCCCCUUUCCUACCUCCACCAACAUUGCCAUGCUCUCUAGAAUUCCACCUGACACCUCACACCAGGUACCGUAGGAUGGUAGCACAGACGCAUACAGCCUCCCGCCCUCCUGCAAUCUGCAGAUUCAGAAACCAUCAGCAAACAGGAUUUGAUAAGCAUCUAUUACCUGCGUAUUAGUAAUCAUUUCUACACUCUGAGACUAGAAUUCAUAUUUUCAGCCAAUGAAUUCAGAUGUCAACACAUAGCUGUACUUAGCCAAUGUGAAUUUAAUUCUAGAUCAGCUAAAAAAGAGAUUAAAAAAUCCCCUUCUCUAAGCAGAAACAGUUUCUUGCAAAAUCACAUAAUUUUAAUAAUCUCUAGGCUUAUAGGUGGAAUGCUUACUACAUUGCCUACUCUACCGGAAUAUGAUUAACUCAAAAUACCACAUCUAUUUGGAUAUCUAUGGCUAAUUUUUUUUUAAUUUCUUGUUUAUCAAAACAUAUUUUGUCUUUCUCUACUGCUAAUCCCUGCUCAUAAUUGCUUGCCCAUACAUCAGAGUUCAUCAAUUCAAAAGAUUUUUUUUUACUUUCUAGAUCCCUAAAAAGAAAUUAUAUUGGAAAUAAAUGAUACAGCAUUAUAGCUUUUGCCUACCUACAAAGUUGGAAAAUUUUUUCACCCAGAGAGAGCUCUCUAGCAUCUUCUACUUCUUACCUUUGUAGUUAAUGACAAAUUGCUUAACUUUCCAGGAUCCUGUCACUUCAUUUGCCAAGAGGAGUUAAUGAUAUCUAGCUGGUAGGGGUGUUGUAAAGAUCAGAGCCAAUGGAUAUGAAACACUAAGCCCAAAACCUCCCAUUUAAUAGGUGCUUCACAAAAGGAGGCAGUGGUAGUGAUGAUGAUUAUGAGGAAAUUGUGGAAAUAGAGGAGAUGAAGGAAAUGGAGAAGAAGGAUAUGUUAGUUUUCUAUUGCUACGGUAACAAAUUGCCACAAACCUCCUGCCAGAACUUCUAGGACUUAGUGGAUGUCUUUGCUUCCAGUCUCACAAGGCCAAAAUCAAGAUGUCAGCUGGGCUUUGUUCGCUCUGGAGACUUUAGGGAAGAAUCUAUCUCCUUGCCUUUUCCAACUUCUAGAGACUCCUGCAUAUCUUGGCUCAUGGCACAUAUACAU
Non-coding RNA from Miniopterus natalensis, 3353 nucleotides. The record is from RefSeq and is a predicted model, not a curated record. Lineage: Eukaryota; Metazoa; Chordata; Mammalia; Chiroptera; Miniopteridae.